UGGUAAUUCAGUUAUUUCAUAAUCCAGAUUGACAAUAUAAUGGGUGAAAUUUUGUCCAUUUCUCAAACAGGUUGUUUUUAUACUGUUCUAUCCUUCCAGGUUUCAACAUAUUAGUUUCAAAGCUACUCAAAUAUUUAUGUGUUUAUAUUAUUAAGCAAUUUGAUCGAAAAAUGCUUCAACUUAUCCGAUUGAACUUGCAACCUAGAAUAGAAUAACAAAGUGUCUAUGCUUCAUUAAUUUCUUUUUCAUAAGAAAUCUGAUAGACCAAUGCCCAACAUCUCACAUCUGAACAAACACCAUGAUAGAACAUAGAGCAUCUAGAAAUGAAAUUGUAAAGUCGAAACAAGGGGUUUCAUUGAUUGAU
RNAcentral lists this long non-coding RNA (364 nucleotides) under Solanum lycopersicum (tomato). RNAcentral describes it as "long non-coding RNA (SLYC_LNC000977)". Lineage: Eukaryota; Viridiplantae; Streptophyta; Magnoliopsida; Solanales; Solanaceae. The record is from RNAcentral.